RNAcentral lists this ribosomal RNA (253 nucleotides) under uncultured bacterium. RNAcentral's name for it is "partial 16S ribosomal RNA". It matches the Rfam family "Bacterial small subunit ribosomal RNA", at positions 524 to 776 of the family's 1533-position model. RNAcentral also lists the same sequence under 1 other name. The record is from RNAcentral.
UACGUAGGGUGCAAGCAUUAAUCGGAUUAACUGGGCGUAAAGGACGUGUAGGCGGCUUGAUAAGUCUGACGUGAAAUUACAGGGCUCACCCCUGUAGCUGCGUUGGAAACUGUCAGGCUAGAGGACGGAAGGGGAAAGCGGAAUUCCAUGUGUAGCGGUGAAAUGCGUAGAUAUAUGGAAGAACACCAGUGGCGAAAGCGGCUUUCUAGUACGUUCCUGACGCUGAGGCGUGAGAGCAAGGGGAGCAAACAGG